Molecule: long non-coding RNA, 756 nt
Filed under: Vitis vinifera (wine grape)
Lineage: Eukaryota; Viridiplantae; Streptophyta; Magnoliopsida; Vitales; Vitaceae
Description: long non-coding RNA (VVIN_LNC002302)
Source: RNAcentral
GAAGAACCCGUGUCACAUAUCAAGCUACCCUUAUAUGAUCAUGUUUGGUAUAGCGGAAAUUGCAUUUUCUCAAAUCCCGGACUUUGAUCAAAUAUGGUGGCUCUCAAUUGUGGCCGCGGUCAUGUCCUUUACUUACUCUUCAAUAGGUCUUGCACUUGGAGUUGCCAAAGUUGUAGGUAUGGAUGUUGCUUUAAUUUGUCUAGUGAAUUUGUGCCAAGAAAAUUGAAUGACUUCAUCUGUUUGAGCUGAUGAAUUGAGCUUUGAUCUUCAUAUCUAUGGCAGCUGCUGGAGGUUUCAAGGGUAGUCUCACUGGAAUAAGCAUUGGAACUGUAACUCAAACCCAAAAGAUUUGGAGGAGCUUCCAAGCUUUAGGCGACAUAGCUUUUGCAUACUCAUAUUCCAUCAUCCUCAUCGAAAUUCAGGUAAAAUAAAAUAAAAUUUAUCAGUUGUAAAACUCAUGGAAACCAAACCAAAAAAAAAUCCCUGAAGCAGUGACUAACCCAUGUUGUGGUUAACAGGACACCCUCAAGUCCCCACCAUCAGAAUCAAAGACAAUGAAGAAGGCCACCUUAGUAAGUAUUGCGGUCACAACAGCUUUCUACAUGCUUUGUGGGUGCAUGGGGUAUGCAGCUUUUGGGGACCUUGCACCUGGAAACCUUCUAACCGGAUUUGGCUUCUACAACCCCUAUUGGCUCCUGGAUAUUGCAAAUGUUGCCAUAGUAGUCCACCUUGUUGGAGCAUAUCAAGUCUACUGCC